Molecule: unclassified non-coding RNA, 4269 nt
Filed under: Portunus trituberculatus (swimming crab)
Lineage: Eukaryota; Metazoa; Arthropoda; Malacostraca; Decapoda; Portunidae
Description: long-chain-fatty-acid--CoA ligase 1-like, transcript variant X3
Source: RNAcentral
AAGGAGGAGGGGCGCCACCACGCGGUCUGCCAUUCCGGCGACAGCGGCAAGAUCCUUGGUGGCUGCCAGUAGUGCUGUCUGCUCUUCUCCCGCGGGCCACUACUGUGUCUGUGUGCCUCUGUUAGUCUUUUUGACACAGUGACUGACGAAAGCCUAACAAAUCGUAUAAGUGAGACAUGAGUGGUCUGUGGGAAGCCGCGUCUAAGGGCGUAGCGGGGGCGAAGGAUACCGCAAGCACACUGGAGGCAGCGGCGGGGCGCGUGUCUGAGGGCACAGCUCAAGUGAUGGCAGGUGGGAAGAGUGUGAUGACCUCAGCCGUUGAAGGAGCGGAGGGCGUGGCAUCAUCCGUCACCGAGGGUGCCCGACUUGUGGGAUCUGCGGUAGACACGGCGGGAAGUGCCCUACAGCAGACCAGGGGCGCUCUCGGUAACCUGUCCCUACCCGUCACCGCAGAGGCCAAGCCGAAAAGCAUGUUGGAGGAGUACGCCCCGGUAAUGGGUGGCGUGGUGGCGGCGGCGGCGGUGGUGGCUGCUACCUACUACCUGACGCGCCCGCCCUCAGUGCCGCCCAUGGUAGACCUUAACGAGCAGAGCCACCUGGUGAAGGAGGGGAGCGAACUGAUCAGAGUGUCCAAGCUGUCCAAGGAGGCAAAGGAGACCAAAUUCAUGAAGUAUGUGUACGAGGACACCCGCACUCUCUACGAUGUGUUCCGGCGAGGGGUGAGGGAAUCAAAUAAUGGCCCUUGCCUGGGUUACCGCGAGGGACCUGGCAAGCCGUACCAAUGGCUGCAUUACAAUGAGGCUCUCCUGAGGGCUAAGAACUUUGGGGCAGGUCUGGUUUCCUUGGGCCUUCCUCCAGGGCCUGACACCUUCGUGGGUAUCUACUCUCAGAACUGUCCGGAGUGGAUCCUGACAGAGCAGGGCUUGUAUUGCCAAUCCAUGGUGAUUGUGCCGCUGUAUGACACCUUGGGGCCAGAAGCCUGCAACUUCAUCAUCAACCAGGCUUCCAUCACAACGGUGGUGUGCCAAGAUGACCGCAAGAUGGCUCAGGUGCUGCAGAGUCCCCCCAAGUGUUUGAAGAUACUCAUCGCAAUAAGGGACAUCAGCGCUGAGACCUCCGAGCGGGCCAAGAAGUUAGGCAUUACCAUAAAAUACUUUGAGGAAGUGGAAACCAUGGGUGCAGCCAGCCAGCUUCCUGAACUACCACCAAGGUCUGAUGACCUCUGCACCAUAUGCUACACCUCCGGUACGACUGGCAACCCAAAGGGCGUUAUGCUUACUCAUGAAAAUAUAGUUGCUGAUGUGUCGGCAACUCUUCUGCAGCUGGCGGAACACAAGCCACACAAGAGUGAUGUGUUGCUAUCCUUCCUUCCACUGGCACACAUGCUUGAGCGUUGCUGUGAGGUUGCCGUGUACAUUGCUGGUGGUGCUGUAGGCUUCUAUUCGGGAGACAUUCGGAAUCUUGUUGACGACUACAAGGCGCUGCGUCCGACCAUUACCCCGUCCGUCCCUCGUCUCCUCAACAGAGUGUACGAUAAGGUCACAUCUGCAGUGAAUGGAUCUGCAGUAAAGAAACUUAUGUUGAAAAUGGCAUUGGCAAGCAAAAAAUCAGAACUUGAGAGGGGUGUGAUAAGAAGAACCUCCAUAUGGGACAAGCUUGUGUUCAAGAAGGUUCAGGAGGGCAUGGGGGGCCGCCUGAGGUUAUUGGUGGUGGGGUCAGCGCCCCUGGCUGGCAACGUCCUUACCUUCAUGAGGGCUGCACUUGGCUGUGUGAUUGUUGAGGGCUAUGGACAGACUGAGUGUGGGGCUCCUGCCACCUUAACCAUCCAGGGUGACUACAAGCCAGACCACGUGGGUCCUCCCAUCGCCUGCAAUGCAAUCAAGCUGGUCGAUGUCCCAGACAUGGAUUAUUUUGCAUCUCAGGGACAAGGUGAAGUGUGUAUCAAGGGCACCAAUGUGUUCAAGGGUUACUUCAAGGACCCAGACAAGACUCGAGAAACACUGGACGCUGCGGGGUGGCUCCACACAGGCGACAUUGGCCAAUGGCUGCCUAAUGGCACAUUAAAAAUAAUUGACCGCAAGAAGCACAUAUUCAAGCUCUCACAAGGUGAAUACAUCGCACCGGAGAAAAUAGAAAAUAUAUAUGUUAGAUCACAAUAUGUAUCCCAAGUGUUUGUGCACGGAGAGAGUCUCAAGUCAAGUGUGGUGGCUAUCGUGGUGCCGGAGGUGGAGUCUGUGAAGGGGUGGGCCCGGGAGCAGGACAUCCCCGGCACGCUGUCUGUGCUCUGUGCCAACCCACAUGUCAAGCAGCUAAUAAUGGAUGACAUCACCAACCUCGGCAAGGCAGCUGGUCUCAAAUCCUUUGAGCAGGCUAAGGACAUCUACCUUCAUCCAGAUCUGUUCAGCGUGCAGAAUGGCCUCCUCACCCCAACCCUCAAGUCCAAGAGGCCACAACUCAAAAAGUAUUUCACCCCACAAAUUGAUGACAUGUAUGCCAAGCUUCCCUAGAGCUCUGGCCGAGGUCACCUAGCAUAUUUGUUACUUAAUGAAAUGGUGAAUGUGUGUGUGUGUGUGUGUGUGUGUGUGUGUGUGUGUGUGUGUGUUUUGAGUGUAAGAAGUUGAAAAGUGGAAGAGUGAGUUUUGAAUGAGUGGAAGUGUUUGACUUGUGCCUCAUAUUACCUGUAUUAGACAAUAUGUUAUGUUGAAAGUAGGAAAGAUUCUCAUCAUUAUUUAUUUGAAGUACAUAAUUAUGGUUAUGCUUGGGAGAUUGUUAUAAAACACAUUCAUAGUGAAUACCAAUGGUUCACUAGCUUUGACAUGGUUGUAAUAUUAUAGGUCAAAACAAGUGAAAAUUUAUAAGUGUAAGUAGGAAGGUCACCUUCUAUAAAUAGUUUGCAGUGGUUAACACAUUUAUCUACAACAGCUUCAAUGUUUUAAUGUAUGGCUUAUAAAUUUUUCUGAGCUUCAUUGUAAAAUUGGAAAAAAAUGUCACUUAUUAAGGAAACCCAUGUAAAGUUUUUAUGAAUAAAUGCCAGCUGUUUAGGUGCCAGAAUGCAAGUGUUCAUUGAAAAUUUUGAAAUAUUAUGUCAAGUUUACUCCAGUUUCCAUAGAUUUUGUAAUGUGCAAUAAAACUAAUAAUGUAAUAAUUCAUAUAUGACUAUAAAUUUAAAGUGAUCAAAUCCAAACACAUACACACAUAUACAUGUACACACACACACACACACACACACACACACACACACACACACACACACACACACACACACACACACACACAUGCACCAUGAUUUUGUAAUCUUCCAACUUAGACAUUUUCAAAGUUAUGAAUAGAUAACUACAAAUAAUGAAUAGAUUUUAAAAUUCUCUAUUUUGGAAGAUACAUCCCAGUUUUGGAAGGACAAUUUAAUGAAAAGAGUUGUCUUCCAUCAUCUGUCAUCUGUACUGAAUCCAUGUCACUCAAUACACAUGCAGUUAUGCAGAUAAAUGCUACUGCUGCCUCACAUUCCCUGCCAGGGCUUUAUACUGAACAGCUGUAUGGGGAGCUUGGCUUCUAAACAUAAAGGCAACUUACUUGUGAUAACUGAGGCACCAUGAAGCCACACUAAGAAUGCUCUUAUACUUAGACAGAAUACAAGGCCAUACUAACUUUAAAUAGAUCAGUUUCAUUGGUGACCACCGUGAGGAACCAAAAACCUCAGGUCACCCAAGGCAGCUUCACAACAAUCAUAGCAUUUGUAACGCUAUUUACUUUUUCCCAUUGAUCAACCUCCCUGUGAUGGCUGACAUUUUGGUGAAAGUUACUUUGUUCUUGCCAAAAGUUUUUUCUAAGUCAAACAAUUUUUAUUAAUGUAGAUAAAGGGGAAAUUUCAUUUGCAUUUUGGUGAUGCCUUAAAUCCCUUAGUACUUUUACAUAUUAUCUAUUGAUAUACAGUAUAUCUGCAUGUUUGUCAUACAAUACCUAUGUCACAAAUCUAUUAUAUAUAGUAUUUUUCAUGUUUCAUGACAUUUUAAGGAUGUCAUUUAUACUCAACAAAAUGUGUCCUGACAAACAUGAUGUAUUUGUCAAGAAAAUAUCUGAUUUACAUGUUCUUUUUUUUUUUAUAUUUUUUGAAGAACUUAAAUGAUUCAUAAAUUGUGGUUAACCUGUAAGCACACACACACACACACACACACACACACACACACACACACACACACACACACACACACACACACACACACACACACACACACACACACACACACACACACACACACACACACACACACA